Molecule: transfer RNA, 86 nt
Filed under: Hyphomicrobiales bacterium
Lineage: Bacteria; Pseudomonadati; Pseudomonadota; Alphaproteobacteria; Hyphomicrobiales
Description: Rhizobiales bacterium tRNA-Leu
Rfam family: tRNA
About the family: Transfer RNA (tRNA) molecules are approximately 80 nucleotides in length. Their secondary structure includes four short double-helical elements and three loops (D, anti-codon, and T loops).
Source: RNAcentral
GGCCGCUUGGUGGAACUGGUAGACACAAGGCACUUAAAAUGCCUCGGGCUUCGCCCGUGCGGGUUCGAUUCCCGCAGCGGCCACCA